This 266-nucleotide unclassified non-coding RNA is filed under the name plant metagenome. RNAcentral's name for it is "partial contains 5.8S ribosomal RNA, internal transcribed spacer 2, and large subunit ribosomal RNA". The record is from RNAcentral.
CAGGCGCGUCACGCCACCGGGCUGGUCUUGCUCGACGAUCCCUUCGGUGCCCUCGCCGUACAACUCCGCGACCAGCGCGUCCUUGUCGUCCGUGGGCACCGUGAGGGACAGAGAAACCAUGCUCAAUAGUAGUCCGCGCAGCUCAUAUAGUAGCCGCACCGCUCACACAGCAGCUUGCACUUGCGCGAGGUCAGGCGGCUGGCGCAGGUGGGGCAAGUUAGCAUGGCCUCCUCUUCGCGGCUCAUGGAACGGGACGGGGCAGGGUC